Molecule: ribosomal RNA, 292 nt
Filed under: uncultured bacterium
Lineage: Bacteria
Description: partial 16S ribosomal RNA
Rfam family: Bacterial small subunit ribosomal RNA
Source: RNAcentral
GUGUCAGCCGCCGCGGUAAUACGUAGGGUGCGAGCGCUGUCCGGAAUUAUUGGGCGUAAAGAGCUCGUAGGCGGUUUGUCGCGUCUAUCGUGAAAACUGGAGGCUCAACCUUCAGCUUGCGGUGGAUACGGGCAGACUUGAGUUCGGUAGGGGAGACUGGAAUUCCUGGUGUAGCGGUGAAAUGCGCAGAUAUCAGGAAGAACACCCGUGGCGAAGGCGGCUCUCUGGGGCGGUACUGACGCUGAGACGCGAAAGCGUGGGGAGCGAACAGGAUUAGAUACCCUGGUAGUCC